GCUCCCCUGCAGGCAGGGAGGGUGGGGGAUGUCAGUGCGUGGCCCAGGAUGGACAGAUGCUUCGGCGUCUGCAUUUGACAAGCAUGCAGCACCUACAACCACGUUAAGCACGUCCUUCCACACAGACCUCACCGUUGUGCCCUGCUGGGAGGGGUGCGCGGCCACUCGGGAUAGGGGGUUGCAGGGCCAGGAAUAUUGGGGGCGUGUCUACCGUGGGCGUGGCAAUCUGGGCGUGGCCAUGUGGCUAAUUUGGGGCACAGUACUGGAGGCAUGACUAUUUGAGGAUGUUUCUACUGGGUGAGGUUACUUAGGGCGUGGCUAUUCCUGAAUGUGGUUACUCAGGGCAUGGUAAUUGGGGUGUAUUUGGUCAUGUUGCUCCCAUAGGCGUGGCUGUUCAGGGGGCUGCUAUGAGGGACGUGGCUAUUCGGAAAGUAGCUAUUUGAGGGCAUGGGUAUUUGGGAGGUGUUUGAAGGCAUGCACGUUUGGGGGCUAAGGCUAUUUGUGGCGUGGUUACUGGGGCAAGCCUAUUUUCAGCAUCAGCCGUGUGGUAAGGCUAUUCAGGGGCGUGGCCGUGUGAGCUGGAGUGGAGGGGCCGAACCUCUAGCAUGAAUGGCGAAUUCUUUGUGGGACUUUGUGAGCCUCAAGGAACAUGUACCCUAAGCAGGGGCAACAUUCAAAAUAGUUCAUUAAUCCGACUAUGACCAUAUGAUAGCGAAGGGGUUUGUGCCUGGGAAUUUGUUAGUCCCAGCCUAAGUUGGACUAAAGGAUAUGAAACACGGGUGCUGAUACCGCAUCAGCAUACUCUGUUCUCAAAAUCCUCUCUGUGCAGGUGGGAAGCUGAGGCCCUGCCCCUGAGCUUGCUCUAGUGCUCGCCUCUUAGAUGCAAGAUCUUAGUGGGCAAGACCACAAGGGCCAGUGCCAGCACGACUCUAGUGUCUGCGGAUUGCCCAGGAUUGUGGACACCCACUGCACCCCAUGUUUCCUACCCUAAAUGUUGGGAGCCGUGGCACUGUCAAGUCAUCAGACGCGGUGAUUGCGAGGCCUGUGGGAAAGUACAAAAGCCUGAGCUAGAUUACCCCUCUCAUCGAGCCCGCCUGUGUGGCACCUGUUUCUUAUCACCCCACUAAGUUCCCGCCUCACAGGGUAGUCUGCCUAGCUAUUAAUCCUAUAUAUAGCCAGUGCCUCCACCCCCGAGAGAGAGACUGAAGCAUGCAAGGAGCCGCGGGGAGCGGACCGGUAGAGGCUUCGGGGGAGAGAAGCCCGGAAGGAGCCGCGGAGAGCGGACCGGUAGAGGCUUCGGGGCAGACUGUAUAAGGAGAGAAUAAAGAAAAGGUUGUCCACUGCCAGACUUUGUCGUGUGUCCUUCCUGCCGGCCGGGAGCGACAUCGACAUUUGGUGGCCCGCACGGGGAUUGAUCAACCCCGAGACGCGGCGGUGGACUGCAUUCUCCUACACAGUGCUGCAGCUGCAGGACAGGAAUCGGGACAAGAACCAAUGUGGGUCCCAGAGAGGUUGACGCGACAAGUCCCUCGACUGAAGAUCAGGCCUGUUCCACCGGAGGCCAACCGCAGACCCAACAACAAGAUGAGCCCUAAAAGAACUGCAGGACAGUCCCUUUUUGGGGGCCUGGAACGGCUUGCUCCCCUAUGUGCUACCCUUGUAUACGCAUGGCUCGCUCGCAUGGCCUACGACCGCGUUUAAAAGUGACAGGCUUCCCACAUUCUCCUCCCUAGACAACAACAUGUAGCAGGGUGGGUGAGUCAAUGACGGGUAAGAGCGUGCCUCCCCAGCACGACUCAACCUAAGCCAGGCCCUACCCCGUUCCGCUCGAAAGCCGCUGGAUUGUUAGAUAAAUUUCUCUCCGAGGGGAUUCGUGGAGAGAAAUGAGUGCAUGCCUAUGUGCAACCAGGUUCCGUCCGGUUCAUUCCUGGCCCUAGAAAAAAGGACGAGGGCCUCAGGGCCUUGGUGGACCCUGGGACGGCCGACCAGGGUCUACGCUAAGGGCCUACGGUGGGCCUCAGUUCGGGGCAUAGGCCUCUGCACUCUAUCCAGGACGGGCUGCGAUGCGCGUAGCCAUCAUUUAAAAUAAAAUAGGGGGAGAUGUUGGGAGCCGUGGCACUGUCAAGUCAUCAGACGCGGUGAUUGCGAGGCCUGUGGGAAAGUACAAAAGCCUGAGCUAGAUUACCCCUCUCAUCGAGCCCGCCUGUGUGGCACCUGUUUCUUAUCACCCCACUAAGUUCCCGCCUCACAGGGUAGUCUGCCUAGCUAUUAAUCCUAUAUAUAGCCAGUGCCUCCACCCCCGAGAGAGAGAGAGACUGAAGCACAAAAGGAGCCGCGGGGAGCGGACCGGUAGAGGCUUCGGGGGAGAGAAGCCCGGAAGGAGCCGCGGAGAGCGGACCGGUAGAGGCUUCGGGGCAGACUGUAUAAGGAGAGAAUAAAGAAAAGGUUGUCCACUGCCA
Molecule: long non-coding RNA, 2459 nt
Organism: Cavia porcellus (domestic guinea pig)
Lineage: Eukaryota; Metazoa; Chordata; Mammalia; Rodentia; Caviidae
Exons: 2
Source: RefSeq, a predicted model, not a curated record